AGAUGGAGUGAGCACACUGAGCGAGCGGACAUCCUUCCAUAGUAAAUAAGCGGUGCCGUGCGCUCCGCUGGCUCCCGAACACUCCAGUCC
MicroRNA precursor from Gorilla gorilla gorilla (western lowland gorilla), 90 nucleotides. The record is from Ensembl. Lineage: Eukaryota; Metazoa; Chordata; Mammalia; Primates; Hominidae.